RNAcentral lists this ribosomal RNA (253 nucleotides) under uncultured bacterium. Its description in RNAcentral is "partial 16S ribosomal RNA". It matches the Rfam family "Bacterial small subunit ribosomal RNA", at positions 524 to 776 of the family's 1533-position model. The record is from RNAcentral.
UACGAAGGGGGCUAGCGUUGCUCGGAAUCACUGGGCGUAAAGGGCGCGUAGGCGGCCGAUCAAGUCAGAGGUGAAAGCCCAAGGCUCAACCUUGGAAUUGCCUUUGAUACUGUUCGGCUCGAGACCGGAAGAGGUAAGUGGAACUGCGAGUGUAGAGGUGAAAUUCGUAGAUAUUCGCAAGAACACCAGUGGCGAAGGCGGCUUACUGGUCCGGUUCUGACGCUGAGGCGCGAAAGCGUGGGGAGCAAACAGG